RNAcentral lists this ribosomal RNA (505 nucleotides) under uncultured Deinococcota bacterium. RNAcentral's name for it is "bacterial SSU rRNA". It matches the Rfam family "Bacterial small subunit ribosomal RNA", at positions 339 to 868 of the family's 1533-position model. Lineage: Bacteria; Thermotogati; Deinococcota. The record is from RNAcentral.
GGACGGGAGGCAGCAGUUAGGAAUCUUCCCCAAUGGGCGAAAGCCUGAGGGAGCGAUUCCGCUUGAAGGACGAAGCCCCUCGGGGUGUAAAUUUGUGAACUUGGGACGAUAAUGACGGUACCAAGGUAAUAGCACCGGCUAACUCCGUCCCAGCAGCCGCGGUAAUACGGAGGGCGCAAGCGUUUCCCGGAUUUACUGGGUGUAAAGGGCGUGUAGGCGGUCUUUUCAAGUCCGAUGCUAAAGACUGAGGCUCAACCUCAGGAGUGCGUUGGAUACUCUGAGGCUAGACGGUGGGAGAGGGUAGCGGAAUUCUCGGAGUAGCGGUGAAAUGUACAGAUACCGAGAGGAACGCCAAUAGCGAAAGCAGCUACCUGGACGAUUAGUGACGCUGAGGCGCGAAAGCGUGGGGAGCAAACCGGAUUAGAUCCCCGGGUAGUCCACCCCCUAAACGAUGAGUGCUGGGUGUCCGGCGUCCGCUCGGUGCCGCAGCUAACGCGUAAGCACU